UUGUUGCACAGAAAGGGAUAUUUUAAGACCCAGGAAUCUGAAGGGAUUAUUAAAACGGAGAUACGGCGACUGGGUGUGAAGCACAAACUUCAGGCAAAGCUUGGAGCGGGGAUAAUUGGCACAGACAGUAAAUGUCGCACAGAAGGAAGGUCACUCAUUGGACAAGUAAAGAGCGAUUCUCACGGGCAAUGUUGAAUAGAGCUUUUACCUACUAAUUUGGAACGCAUUUCAUCUGUUGAACAUCACUACUUUAAGGGGCCCUGAGGGCAAUGUGUGAGGCUCAGAAAGCAGUAGCCCAAGCAAUCAGGACUUCAGACAGAGAGCUCUUUUGUGGCUUUGGACAAUCAUCAUCAGUCCAUUCCUACUAAGAGAGAUCAAACCAUUCAACAACGUCGAAAGUUGCCUACUUCAAGAGGAAAUAUGCGGAAGAGGAGGAUUUACAUGGAGACCUACAUGGAUAUUUUCAAAAACACCUGAUACUACAAGAGGAUCGCAGCUGCAUCCUCAAAAUCUCCCUGGAGAAGCUGAGGUAUCUGGAGGACCCGGAGGCGUACCUGCGACGCUCGGUGCUCAUCAACAACCUCCUGAGGAAGAUCCACCAUGAGGAGGAGAAAAGAAGCAGGGGGCUGGCACCAGGCCGCCCGCAGGGAGGAGACUUCUCUACCCAGACAGGAAGCGGGUGAAGGUGGUGGUGCAGACUGCUGUUCUCCAUCCUUUGGGUUGGAGGAGAUGCCACGCUAUCACCUGGUGCCAUACCCUUCUUCAACCUGCCUCUACAGUCUAGGCACCUGCCCCAGCAUCACCCCCAACCACAGCCAUCAAGUUCUGAUCUAUAAACUGGAUGACAAUGGGUGACUGUUUUUUUUAAUUGUUUUUUAUUGCUUGAAUAGGAAGCUGCUCAUCAGUGCAGAGUGUGGUUUACUGGAGGGAGUCAGGUGGCAGAGCAGUUAGGGAAGCGGGCUUGUAAUCAGAAGGUUGCCAGUUCGAUUCCUGGCCGUGCCAGAUGACGUUGUGUCCUUGGGCAAGGCACUUCACCCUACUUGCCUCGGGGGAAUGUCCCUGUACUUACUGUAAGUCGCUCUGGAUAAGAGCGUCUGCUAAAUGACUAAAUGUAAAUGUACUGUGAUUUAACCUUCAAUUUCACACAUAGAUGAACCGCAGCCUGAAGGCUUCCCCUUGUAAGAUUUUCCACAGGUUUGGUCAAGACAGUCGAAAUCAAGGUCUGUUGUCCUCAAAGGACAUUUUAUUACAGUUUCACUGCCUUAUAUGCUGAUGUAGGAGAUUCCAUGCAGAACUUCGUUUUUAUUGUCAAUGCUCAUUAAAAAUGAGCCUAUUCAGGGAUACUCACAGUACAAAUAAUGCACCUUGCCUUGUUUCGGAAGGUUUGUAUCUGCUGGUAUGUUUCUUUUAUCAUCAGAUAUUUUCUUGUAUAUUUAUAGAAUAACAUGUGUUUCUCUAAACAUCCUAAUUCAGAGUGUCAUCACAAAACCCUCAAUUUUGAAACAUACAUAUGCAGAGGUACUGCUGGUGCAAUUUUGCUUUUUUGUGUGUGGUGUUUCGCUCUCUUCAUAACCCUUUGCUGCCCUCUGCUGGUCCAGAAGAAGA
Long non-coding RNA from Osmerus eperlanus (European smelt), 1605 nucleotides. RefSeq lists it as uncharacterized. The transcript has 4 exons. NCBI's taxonomy places the organism in Eukaryota, Metazoa, Chordata, Actinopteri, Osmeriformes, Osmeridae. The record is from RefSeq and is a predicted model, not a curated record.